This 199-nucleotide ribosomal RNA is filed under the name Francisella noatunensis. RNAcentral's name for it is "partial 16S ribosomal RNA". It matches the Rfam family "Bacterial small subunit ribosomal RNA", at positions 78 to 285 of the family's 1533-position model. Lineage: Bacteria; Pseudomonadati; Pseudomonadota; Gammaproteobacteria; Thiotrichales; Francisellaceae. The record is from RNAcentral.
CUUCGGAUGCUGACGAGUGGCGGACGGGUGAGUAACGCGUAGGAAUCUGCCCAUCUGUGGGGGAUACCAGUUGGAAACGACUGUUAAUACCGCAUAAUAUCUGCGGAUUAAAGGUGGCCUUUGCGCUGCCGCAGAUGGAUGAGCCUGCGUUGGAUUAGCUAGUUGGUGGGGUAAGGGCCUACCAAGGCUACGAUCCAUA